Long non-coding RNA from Chiroxiphia lanceolata (lance-tailed manakin), 236 nucleotides. RefSeq lists it as uncharacterized. The transcript has 4 exons. NCBI's taxonomy places the organism in Eukaryota, Metazoa, Chordata, Aves, Passeriformes, Pipridae. The record is from RefSeq and is a predicted model, not a curated record.
GCUCUGUUGCAGUGGAGCACGGCAAAGGUAUCGUGCCAGCAGCAGGAGCAGAGCAGAAGGAAUAUUUUGACCCUUCUUCUAAGAAUAAGGUUCCUACACUGGAGGCAGGAGAUCUUCAGCUAAGGUCUGAUUCUUCAAGUCAAACAGAUUCUCAGCUGGACAGACAGCCAUUGGUCAGGCAGCUGCUGGAGAAGCCUGAUGAAGUUCUCAAAAAGAACUCCCUGGCAGAACCUUCA